AAGAAAUGAAAAUGUUUAGUUGAAGUAAACCCUCCAGAUGGUUUAGAGUAUAUAGUAUAUACAUGUGUCUACAUACCUUGGAGCAAAUAUUCUCACGGAGUCUCCAGGGUUCACUGCUUUAUUUCCGAAACCCCAGUUCAAGGUAUAACAAAGUGAUGAUCAAAGUGAAAGUGAACGUGAAUAAGUGAAAGUGAUCUAUUUACCUGUAAUAUAUAAGUAUUGAGCUAAGUUUGUGUUCUUGUUAAAAUGAAACCUGAAUCUAACGUCCUUAACAUUAAUCAUCAGAAUAAACACACUAGGCUUUCCCGAUCCUCAGCUAGAGAUUUUGAAACUCAUUCUCGAAACAAUUUCGAAACAUUUCGGACCCUCACACCAAUAUUUGAGGAUAAGAAGCCAGCUAGCAGGAGAAGGGAGAGUUGGGAGAACGGGGACAGGAGAAGAUCUAGAACUAAGAGUUACGAGAGAACUAGAGAACCUCGUGUUCUAGCUCCGAGACGGAGUAGAACACAAGAACGGGUUUCAGAACCCACCAGGGAUAUUCAGUAUAACAGGGCUAAAACUAUUCACGU
Molecule: long non-coding RNA, 569 nt
Organism: Eurytemora carolleeae
Lineage: Eukaryota; Metazoa; Arthropoda; Copepoda; Calanoida; Temoridae
Exons: 3
Source: RefSeq, a predicted model, not a curated record